RNAcentral lists this ribosomal RNA (807 nucleotides) under Sinopoda mamillata. RNAcentral's name for it is "SSU rRNA". Lineage: Eukaryota; Metazoa; Arthropoda; Arachnida; Araneae; Sparassidae. The record is from RNAcentral.
AUUAUCAAGAACGAAAGUUAGAGGUUCGAAGGCGAUCAGAUACCGCCCUAGUUCUAACCAUAAACGAUGCCAGCCAGCGAUCCGGCUGUGUUCCUCAAAUGACACGCCGGGCAGCUUCCGGGAAACCAAAGCUUUUGGGUUCCGGGGGAAGUAUGGUUGCAAAGCUGAAACUUAAAGGAAUUGACGGAAGGGCACCACCAGGAAUGGAGCCUGCGGCUUAAUUUGACUCAACACGGGAAAACUUACCCGGCCCGGACACAGGAAGGAUUGACAGAUUAAGAGCUCUUUCUUGAUUCUGUGGGUGGUGGUGCAUGGCCGUUCUUAGUUGGUGGAGCGAUUUGUCUGGUUAAUUCCGAUAACGAACGAGACUCUAGCCUACUAAAUAGACGUUCCGAUCAUCUCCGUCGGACGUUCUUCUUAGAGGGACAAGCGGCGUUUAGCCGCACGAGACAGAGCAAUAACAGGUCUGUGAUGCCCUUAGAUGUCCGGGGCCGCACGCGCGCUACAUUGAAGGAAUCAGCGUGUGCUUUCCCUGUCCGACAGGACUGGGUAACCCGUUGAACCUCCUUCGUGCUGGGGAUAGGGGCUUGUAAUUGUUCCCCUUGAACGAGGAAUUCCCAGUAAGCACGAGUCAUAAGCUCGUGUUGAUUACGUCCCUGCCCUUUGUACACACCGCCCGUCGCUACUACCGAUUGAAUGAUUUAGUGAGGUCUUCGGACUGGCGCCCGGAGCGGCCCUCGGGUCGCGCCGGCGUGCCGGAAAGAUGACCAAACUUGAUCAUUUAGAGGAAGUAAAAKCGUAMAAGGU